Molecule: RNase P RNA, 322 nt
Filed under: Burkholderiaceae bacterium
Lineage: Bacteria; Pseudomonadati; Pseudomonadota; Betaproteobacteria; Burkholderiales; Burkholderiaceae
Description: RNase P RNA component class A
Rfam family: Bacterial RNase P class A
About the family: Ribonuclease P (RNase P) is a ubiquitous endoribonuclease, found in archaea, bacteria and eukarya as well as chloroplasts and mitochondria. Its best characterised activity is the generation of mature 5'-ends of tRNAs by cleaving the 5'-leader elements of precursor-tRNAs. Cellular RNase Ps are ribonucleoproteins.
Source: RNAcentral
GAAGCCCGCCAGACCGCCGCUGGUGCAAGGCCCGAAAGGGCGCACUGGAGGAACGUCCGGACUGCACAGGGCAGCGCAGGAGCUAACGGCUCUCCACCGUGAGGUGAGGAUCAGAGCAACAGAGACGAGCCGAUUUAAGUUCGGGUGAAACGGGCAAUCUCUGCGCGCAGCAACACCAAGUAGGUUGGCUUUGGAGCGGCCCGCUCUUGCCAACGGGUAGGUGGCACCGAGCCGGGUGGGCGACCCCCGGCCCAGAUGGAUGGCGGUCACGCGAGCGGGCAACCGCCGCGCACAGAAUCCGGCGUAUCGGCGGACUUCACAU